GAAGACAUUAAAUUGUAUAUAUUAUGAUAGUAAAAUGCCCAAGAACUUGCCAGUCAAGAUGAAAAACUUCUUCUAAUGGAAUCCAGCUUGAAAGCAACUCAAGAGCAGCUAAGUGAGCAAACAGCAGAAACAGUUCACCAAGAACAGAACAGUAGAAAAUCACAGACAGAGCUGAAAGAAGAUCCUGAGAGAACGUAUUAUAGCUUCUGAUGAAGAAAUUAGUGAUUACAAGUGAGUAACUGCUUUUAUAGUAUUUGAUAAACAGAAGACAUUAAAGACAGCAGCAAAUUCUUUUAAUAAGUAUUAUGUUAACCAUUUAUUUCUGGCAAGAUGUAGUGUAAAUAUGUUCUAUAGCUACUGAAUAAACUAUUAAAUCUAAAAGAUUGAUUAAUGUGUACUUUAAAAUAUAUUUUGCACUUAAAAUUAAAAAAAAAUACUUUUGUUAGUGGUCUAUUUUACUUUUGGAAUGAAAAAGAGAAAAAGAUUCUAUGGUGUUGAAGUAGAAUAAUAUUUGUUACUUCUAUCUUAAUAUUAUUCUCAUCUUCCUAUUUUUAGCAACUGAAGUUUAAAUAUGCAUUUUAUUUUCUUUAUUUUUUUUAGAAGCUGUCUCUAAGCAAGAUGCUGCCAAAUAAAAGGAAAUUUAGUGUUUGAACUUUUAGUCACAACAGUAAGGCACAUAUGAGAUUGCAUACUAUACUUGAGAAAAGUUUAAACAGAAAAAUGUACCUCUAUUCUCAGAAAAAAAAAAAAUAGUAUCUAUAAGUUUAUAAGUUUAAAUGUUAGCUCUGAAGAUUUUAAUUAAAAAAUACUAAUCUUCAACAAAUAACUUUUAUAAAUUAUAAUGACUUUAAAUGUAUUUUUAUAUUGAGACACAAAAUGAUACAUUAUUCAGAUUUUUCAAGAUCUACAGUAUGGUAGAAAUGAUUCACUACUGCUUCUUUUUGCCUUAUUGUAUGCAAACUGUUACAUAUGUUAUAUUAAAAAAUUGUUAAAUGUAGAGACAGAAACUCAAGCUGUUUUAUAAUAUCAUAGAGUGCAGGUGAAUGCUUUAUAAAGAGAGCAUGACUGAAAUAAAGUUUAUUCAUUCAGUGGUAGGUUGAACAUUUAAAGAGAAAUGUUUUAUCUCAGAUUUGUACCAAGCAUCAAGGACUGUCUCUACAAAUCUCCUCUGAGAGAAGCUUUGCUAGGUUUAGAUGCAAUAAACAUAAUGUUUCAAAAUCACAAUAUGACAAUGUUAUAAUUUGUAUGCUCAGUGUAAAUAGCUUCUAGACUGGAACUUCACUCUGUAUUCAAAAGUUUAAAGCCAAUUUUUCUGCUGAAGACUGGGAAAAUCUCUAUGGGAAGAAAAAAACGCACAAGAACAAAAACAUUGUCUACAGUAAUAUGUCUUCAUUUCUUUAAAUAAAAUAGCUUGGUGGUUUUCAACUUCUAGUUAUACCUCUAAAGACCUUACUACUACUUCUCUAGGGACAGUAGUGUCACUGAUUUGCUUUCCUAACCUAUCUUGACUCCUUUGCUACAGUAAGCUUUCUUAACCAUUUCAAGUGAUUCUUCAGUUGCCAAAAUGCCAUGUUAUGCAAAUUCCUGUAGAUAUUUACUUCAAAAUUAAAAGGUUAAAAUCUUCUAGGAGUACUGGCUGUAAGUUUGUGUGAUACAGUGAUAGAAAUGGUAGGGGAUGUGGGAGGAUUGAAACCUCCAGCUGUAUCUGAUCAAAUGUGUGAUGAAAUACAACACUUGAUAGAGCAGGAAUUUUGCAAAAGUGAAAUGAGUUUCUCUGUUCUUCAAAUAGAAAGACAAAUGAUAAACACUACAAGACUUUGAGACACAUUUCUUUCUUUUUUUUUUUUUUUAUGAUUUCAUAGUAUACAUUUUGUGAAUAAAUAAAAACUUGGAUGAAUCUGUUAACAUACAAAAAUUCACUAAGCCACCUUUUUUUCUGUUUAUAUUUGAUUUUCUUUUUCUGCUCUAUUUUUCUAUUUCUGUUUUCACCAAACUAAUAUGUUUGUUGGCUUUGGAAGUUUGUUAAUUUAGUACAUGAGCAUAAUGUAUUUUGAGUUAGGGGAGUCUUCAGGUUACAGCUCUAUAGAUUGUCAAGAUUAUUUUUAUAGGCUCUUAGGUUAAUUUUUAUGUUUAAGUUUAUGACACUUGUUUUUUAAAAGUACUGUGAUAUUACUGCACGAUUAUAGAGAAGUAUUUGUUGAAUUAGGAAAAUUAACGCUGUAAAUUUAAAAUUUUAAUAAAGUUGAAAUUAUAAAGAUAAAAACUAAGAAACAAAAUUGAACAUUUUAGAUAUUAAAUUCCCCCUUAAAGAUAACAUUUUACUGAAUACCUGAAAACAAACAUGUUGUGCCAGACAGUAUCUGCUGUGCUCUGUUCCUUGAGAGGCAGAAAGAACAAUGGAUCUCUUUCCCCAUGGGUGUUUGGGGACAGGGAAUGUCGUAAAGGUUAUGUUCAUUUACUAUGAAGGGCACAGCACGUGUUGUAAAGUAACAUCCCUUUGGUGCUGACUUAUUCGAAGUCACAUAGUCCUGGACUUUACCUACCACCCUACUUAGUGAUUCUGGCAAAUGCAGAUGGUAUCAAGGUGAGAGCUUAGGACCUUACAAAGAAAAAUGCAGUGAAGCAUAAAUUGGUGGAUUUAAACUACCGAGAGAGUUAAGAUUCUGCUAUAGCUGUUGUGACGCCUAUAAGGAGAAAAGUCCAUUUUUGUAUGCUUUUAUUUCCUUGUAAUGUAAAUGUACAUUAAAGGAUAUUUCUCCUGGAAGUGGUGUAAAAGGAAAGUACUGAAGAGCAUUUAAAAAACAAUAAAACUAGCAUUAUUUGUGCUAGUUUACAAAAAUAUUUUUUUAUAAAAUAGAAUAAAAAUAUUUUACUAACUGUACUGGAUUCUCAAAAUGCAUGUAUUCCAGGUAUAACCAAAAUUUGUAAGUAGUCACAAGCUAUGUUUGCUAUAUACUUAUUCUGGAUGAAAUAAACCUAAAGUUACACACACUCCCCCCCAGCCUCCAAUAUAAGCCUGUUACACUUGAAAGAUUUGUUCGGAAUGUCCAGUGGGAACCUGGAAAUCGUAAUAAUUUGUAGUAUCGAUUGUGUGAAGCUAUGCAGCUGGGGCCUCUAGUGAAUAGACAGGAAUAGACAUUUUAUUGAUUAACUUUUACAGUCAUAUUUUCAAGACUCUGCUGCAACAUAAUUUUCACUUCCCAGCUUUGUGCUGCUGCAUCAUGAAACUUGAAUUCUUCUCUCUUAACAUUUACCCACCUGAGGGAAACAGUAUGGAGUUGUCUCUUUUAAGCUGCGCUCUGCAGAAAUGCAUAACACUUGACACAGUGAAUUCUUCAAAAUUUACCCUCCGCUGUUGCAAUAAAAUGAAAAAUAUUAAGAAGUGAUAUUAGUAUCACCCAAGUUGAACUGCCCACUCCAUAUGUUAGACGCCAUUGUUUCAUACUUCCUAGUAAUUUUAUCCACCUUUUUUUUUAUUUUUAUUUUCUAAGGGGCUAAGAUUGUGGCAAAAAAAAUUGCCACCCUCCUCACACCACAGAUUCCAGCAGUGCUUAAUGGAGUUUGUCUCAUAAUUAAAUAGGUGAUUUUAUUAGUUACUGGAGAAGAAUAAGUGCUUCCCUGAAAAUGUGAACUAUGAAUUAAAAAAUACUCAUUUUUAAGAGUGACAGCCUGUGUCAAAUAAAAUUCCUUGUAAAAGUACAGAAAGGGCAGUUUUUCAUUAUAAUUAUCAAUCUAUCAUUUAACAAUGUAAAAAUAUGUACCAAAAUAGUAAACAGACUAGUCUUAGAAAGCAUUAUUUCACAUUUCUGAAGUUAUUCGUUUUCAGAAAAGAAAAAAAAAAGGGGGGGGGGGGGCAUUUUGCCAUUUUGUAAAGAACUGUUGCAUAUUUUCUGAUUUUUUCCCAGUAUGAUUUGCAUUCUAAAUCAGAUGCCCAAGCCACUAUUCUUUCAUGCUGAUAAAAUUGCUGGUAAAAAUCUCAAUCUAUCAUUUUUUUUUUCAUCUAAUGACUGUUUCUUUGUUGUUGUUGUUGUUGUUAUUUUACAUGGUAACUUUUACUUGAAUGCUGUUUGCAAUGUAAGUUUGAUAACAGCUUUCACAAAAUAGGACAAAUAUUCACAUACAUUGCCACUGGUGCUAAUAUGAUUUAGACUUCUGUCAUUCUAUUAUUUUUCCUAGAGAUAUUUUAUUACUAGUGUCUUCUAAGUAUCUAAAUGUUUAAGAUAUUUGUGGUCAUGUUUCCUUUUGUCCUCCCGCUCAUCAGAUACAUCUCAGUGUGCACUGUAUGGAGACACCAAAGCAGAAAUACUCGCAUAGAUGACAGAAUGUUCAUCUUGUUUGCAGUUGUCUAAACUCUUACAGAAAAAAUCCUGAUUUCUCUUAAAAAAGCAGAAAACUGUGUGGAGAACUUUAAGGUCUGAAAAAUGUGAGUAAUGCCUCCAGAAAAGCUUAAAUGGGAAUCACGCCAAGAAUGUGGGACCAGGAAAGUCAAAUUGUCAGACUGAGACAAAACUUUGUGGAAAUGGAAGAAGAAGUAAAGAACUUAAGACUUACACACAGCAAUGAUGCUCAGAUGAUUGAUAAGAAUCUGAAUACUCUGAGAAAUGAGAUGAACUUGUAUGAAGACACAUAGGAUGGUAGUCAAAUGAGCUGAAGUUUAAAUAUGAACAACACAAUGCAACACUGAGGCCUGCAUGACUGUAAGAAUGUUAGGAUAGAAAAUUGUCUUUGGUAGCAGCAAAGAUUAAAAAAAUAGUAUCACUUAAAUAAAUACAUGUGAAGAAGCCAAAUUUGUAACAAAAAGGAAACCAGUAAAUGAAUUCACAAAAGCCAGCUACUACAUAGCAAAUCUCUGUAUAAAUGGGCUGAGAGUAUGUACCAAGAAGAAGGCAAGUAUCUAUUCUUUUUCAAUGGGAAAAACAAAAAACAAAAAACAAACAAACAAAAAAGCUAUUUCAUCCUUACUUUGGGAAAAAGGCACACAAAACCAAAGCAAAAAAUGCCUCACUGACUGCAUCUGUCCAUUCUGUACUGUAAUUUGUUUCCCGCUAUGAAGAUUUAGGUUAAAUUCAUUUCUAUUAUUAAAGACAAAUAAGCUGCAAAAGAACUAAUUCUCUGUCUCCAUCUUUUACAUGUAUAUUUAUUCAUAUGAAUGCACUUUUGUUCAUUUAUUUUUACUUCUACCUUGACAAAGCUGUGCAAAAAAUAACAUAGUUUGAUUACUCAUAAUUUGCAUUUGUGUAAUUAAUAGGGAUGAAAAGGAUUAAAAUCAAUGGAGAAAUAUUUAUUUGUUUAAAUUGGAUAACUAUGGAAAAACUAUUUGGCAGGAAUGAAAGCUUUUCCAUCUAAAUUACGUCAUAUAAUUUAAACUGUUUUAGUUUUUAAGCUUAAAAAGCAUGAAAAUCACAAAGCAGAACUGGAAGAAGACACAGAAAAAUACUGCCAUGUAAAGGAAGAGCCUUCAGAACAAGGGUCUCAGCUCAAAAUUAGCUAGCUGGUCCAUUCUGGAGUGGGAAAACUGAUAAAAUGCCGCAGUACUCAGGUAAUACCCUUGAUACAAUAUGUGGAAGGGAGACAGUGUUUGAAGUAAUAUCAGUGAAUGUAUCAGAGUACUCUCAGAGAAUUUUUCCAACGGAUAAGGAAAUAUUAUUUAAAUAAUACUAACUGUAAAAUUCACUCAUGAGUGAUUGAGAAAACAUGAGAAAUAUUGUUGAAAAUAUCAAGUCAAUAUAACAGCAGCAUUUCUUCUUUUAAAAGUGUUGUGGGUGGGAUUCACCUUGUUGAACUGGAGGUAGGAAUAUUUGAAAUAGAUGUCUAAGUUCCAUUGCUGUCAUUGGAGACUUAAUCAACUCAGUGAGUGAAAUCAAGGGCUAUCAAUACCUUUCAUUACCCAAAGUGAACCUACAGAAAAGCUGGAGAGUGACUCUUUAUCAGGUAGCAUUGUCAUAGGACAAGGGAUAGUUGCCUUCAACUAAACUAGAUUAGACAUUAGAAAGAAAUUCUUCACUAUGAGGACAGUGAGAUACUGAAAUAAAUUGUCCAUAGAAACUGUGGAUGCUCCAUCUCUGGGAGCAUUCAAACGUAGGUUGAGUGAAGCCCUUGGCAACUUGAUCUCAUGGAAGGUGACUGUGCUAUGGCAGGGAAUUAGAACUAGAUGAAUUUAAGUUCUCUUCCAAACCAUUUUAUGAUUCUAUGACUAAAUAUUGAUCCAAUCAAUAUUAAGGUUUUCAGAGGAGCUGAAAAUCAAUCCCAGUGACAAUAUUAUUCAUUGUGAUAGAACACAUUCACACACCGUAAUGCAGACAUCCAAAUUUGGGUAAGAAUAAUCAGAUUAGAAAAGUUAGCCUUUUUGCAGCAAUUCAUUAUAUAAUACGGAAUUAUUUUAUUUAUUUUUGUUACUAAUAAGAGUACUAGAUGUUUCACAAGCAUAGAUACUGGUCAAUUAUCUGAGCAAUAUCCAAUAUAUAAAUACACAAAGUUAGAAGGAAAUGAUCAAUGCCAGAGAGAAAUAAAAGUUAAAAUAAUACAUGCUUUUUCUUCUGUGUCUGAGAGAAUGUGAGUAGAUGUGAAAGUUGGAAAACCAAAAGAAUUAGUAGUAUGACAACAUUCCUUUUCUACCCUAGCAUUGUCAAAAGAUAACAAGAUUAAUUCUCUGCUGUAGUAUUUCACUACAGUAGUGUGUUAAUUUGAGGGGCUUGGCUGAGCCUUAUUCAGCAUAUAAUUAGAAUUUACUGAACUUUAAUUUCUUAUCAUCUUUAGGCUGCAUUAUCAAAGUGUUUAUAUUGAAACAUUCAAAUGUUCAGUUAAAAAUAAACUUCAGUUUGUCAAGGAUACAUUGUAUACAAAUUCUGUGGAAAUAUUUGAAUAAAAUUGUUCACUUUUGCUUUGUGAGAAAUGCUUUGCACUUUACAUAUUUAUAACAUAAUGUCAUUAGAGUAUGUAUCUUAGAAAUAUAGCAAUUUCCUGGUGAAUUUAUUGAAUAAAUGCUUAUCUAAUAAGUAAUUUGAGAGUAGAGAAAGAUCUAAUGAAAAGCUAAAUACACAGUGAAAUCCUAAUCAAGCAAUUGAAAUAGUUACUCAUGAUAAAACUAAGAUUAUCAGAGUAUCAGAACACAAAUUACUCCAUUAAUCUUUUGAAUUAGUCAGUUCUUAUUUUCUGAAGCUAAGUAACUUGGGAAGGUACACUCAAGGUUUCAUCUUUCUGAAGACUGUAUUUAUUACCUUUACUUUCAUAAAGAGUUCAUUAGAAAGAAUAUUACAGUGAAAUACGUUAACUUUUUAGCCUGUUUUAAUGAGGUCAUGUGAGUCUUUAAUUAUCUGACAUAAAACUGCUUAGUUUUACGUAGUAUCUACAGAUACUAAUUAGUAUCUACAUAUAUACAUUAGUAUCUACAUCAAUUAGUAUCUACAGAUAUUAACGGAUUCAUAUGUCAUAAAGCCAGAAGAAACGCUGUUAUUGAAUCUUAUAUGUGGCACAAUGCAGGCCACAGGACUUCACUGAAUUGAGUAGUUGUAAGAGAUUAUUCUUUUAUAUGAUUGACUCAAAGUUUGCUGAGGAACAAGUCCAGGCAAGUCCUGGGCAAAGGUACAGAAAUCUUCUGUCUGGAGGACACUGAUGGACAGGUCCUGGCUAAAGGAUUGUGAAGUCCUUUAAGGAGCACAGAUGGACGAGGCCAGGGGCAACGAGAGAGGGAUAAGCUGCUGAUAAUGGCUGAGAAAUGGUCUUUUGUGUGGACUUAUCUAGAAGAAGAUGGCCAUCUCAGGAGCUACGCACAUGACUCUUGCUCAAGCACCCAGGGAUGUCACGUAGGCAGGAAAAAGAGGAGGAUAAAAGAGGGUCUAACAACCAUGAGGAGAGGGUUUCUGCCAUCAGAUCCCUCACCACGACGGACUCAAGGUUUCUGCCAUCAGAUCCUUCACUACGGACCAUAUGCUGAUGGACUUCCCUGGGCCUGCUACCUGAGACCUGCUGCUUCCUCCCAGACUUACUCUGCGGCUUCUUCCUGGACCCACCCGGUACCUGCACCCUCUCGUUGCCCAAGACCGGCCUCGCUGCUCCUGCCCUUCAGCCUCGGACCAUCAGAACAUCGUGCAACAGGACUACUGCUGGUGGUGACUAUCCCCGCUUUAUGCAAUUCUUGCUUCUUUCUAUCUUUUCUAUCGCUCGCCUUCCCUUUCCCAUCACCCCAAUCCAUAAUAGUGUCCGUCCUCCCCUUUCUUCAUCUCCCUUAUUAACAUAUGUAAUAAACUGGUCGGACCAACAUUUGAACCGUUGUUUCUUAAUCUCACGCCGGGCAUACAUAUUUCAAAGAACCUCCUCUCCCUCCUAUAAAUUGGAGUGAGACAGUAGUACAUUAUGUCUAAGUAAAUGUGAUUAAAAUGGAGUAUAUUAAAAUGGAGCAUACAUUUUUUAUACAUUCUUGACUUUAAAUAUACACAAUGUUAGAGAAUUCAUUACGGUCUUUCACAGGUUGCCUCAAUAGUUAGUAAAACAUAUAGCAUGCUGACUGUUCAUCAUUUUAGCAUCUUUCUUGGAAUGUUAUACAAAUCUCAACAUAUAUAAAAAUAGUUUUUAUGUCAUCUUUAUCAAUAACAUUUGAAAUAUCAUAAAACUGAAAGAGCAGAUAGUUUUACAAGAUGUGUUUACAGUAAAUCCACAGUAACUUUGGUUAUUAUAUUAAUGCACAUUUGUUAUAUGUAUCUACAGCUAACACAAAUUACUGUGGAAUUAUGAUAUUAGCUGUCCUGAUAUUUUGCUUGAAAGAGAUAAGUAACUACCCUCCUUGAAUUACUUGAAUCACCCUCUUAAAACCUAAGAAAUAUUAGCACAGAAUUAACAGAUAAAUUAAUCUGUACUGUUUUGGAAGUUUUUAAGGUUGUCAAGACCAAACACUGUAAAUAUGGCCUAGAAAUUCUUUUCAAAAGCACUUCAAAAGCACUUAGAUAUGUUUUACGUAGACAAUUUGAAAUAUAUUUAUACUUAUGUGAUUGCAGUCACUUUUAUCCUAAGACUAAAAUACCAUACAUUCUUCAGUUAUAAUAGAAUAUUUCACAUGAAGGGUUCUACAGAGAUCAUCAAGUCCAACUGCCUGACAACUUCAGAGGUAACCACAAGUUAAGCGUAUUACUGAGGGCAUUAUCCAAAUGCAUCUCAAGUAAUAUUAGGCAUGGGACAUCAGUCAUCUCAUUGCAGUGAGAUAAAAGCCUGUUCCACUGUUUGAUGAUAAAUAAAUGUCCAGUAUAGUCUGAAACUCCCCUGGCACAGCACAGCUGUGUGCCACUCCUGUGCAACCUGCAAUCAGCACAGAAGAUACCAGGGAGCAGAGACCAGCACCUCCCUCUGUACUUCCUCUCCUCAAGGAGCUGCAGAGAGCAGUAAAGUCAUCUUGUAGACUCCUAUUCUCCAGGCUAGACAGUCCAAGAGUCCUCACCCUUUCCUUACUAGACAUGUCUUCCAUUCUGAUUACCUGCUUUGUUGCCAUUGUCUGGACACUUUUAGAUAUCUUAAUAAUGUUUUUAUGUUGUGGGGCAUACAUUAUUCAAGGUGAGGUUGCACCAACUCCAAAUAUAUCAGGACAAUCACCCCAAAAAGCAGUUUGCCCUUUUGGCAACCAACACUGCUGGUUCAUACUGAGCCUGCUAUCAUCAGCCCUCCUAGAUCAAUUUGUUCUGAGCUGCUCUCCAGCCAUUCAUCUCUCAGUUUGUGUCAUCUCUCAGGUACUGUGCCAGGCAUAGUACCUGACAUUUACCUUUGUUGAACUUCACGCCACUGUUUCCCCAGUGCUCCAAUCCAUCCACAUUGCUCUACAAGACCUCAGCAACACAACUGACCAUCUACUAGCCAAAUGGGUCUCCAUCACUACAACACUUUGAGUUCUACCAUUGAGCCAGUUUAUCACCCUGCAUAGUGUGAACAUACUUAUCUCACAGUUGGACAAUUUGUACAGAAAGUUGCCAUGAAGGAUCAUAUCAAAGGCUUUACUGAAUUCUAGAAAGAUGACGUACGCUGCCUUCCUUCAUCCACCAAGUGGGUAAUCUUAUAAAAAGAAAUCAAAGCAAUGAAGACAGGGCUUUCCCUUCAUGAACCCAUAUUGACUAUGCCUGACAAUGGCUUUGUCCUUCAAGUGCCUUUCAGUAACACUCACUAUAAUCUUCUCCAUAAAUUUUUAGGGUACUGAAGUUAGGUUAACAAGUCUGUUACAGAUUUGUUACUUUUGUUACUUUGUUUUCAGUAAGUUCUUUCUCUUUAUUUUUUGUUUGUUUGUUUAUUUUACUUUGUUUUGGGAAGAGGAGAGCUUGUGGUGGGGAGUGGGGUUUUGUCAUCUACGUAGUGCUAUUGAAGAUAAUACUACUUUUUUAUAUUUAAACAUUUGAUCCUCAGAAAGUUUCAUCCUAUUCUUUCAUGUUUACGAGAUUUUUCUCUCUUCAAACACUUUUUUUCUUUGUAUGAACAUUUGCAAAUGAGUGUGUACAUGCAUAUCAAUGACCAUGAGUACAUGGGGCUUAUCUGUUCCUCAAAAAUAUGACUUGGUCAAAAUUACUUUUGCAUAAAGAACAACUGAAUUUCAGCAACGUAAUCCUUUCCUACUCAUAAGUCUUAAAUUAAUGUGCAAAAUUGAAUUAAUCAGCAUAUUUAAUUACAAUUUUUUUGUUAAACUUAUUUAUCUGUGAAGGUGUUAUGUAUAAUUUUUGAAAGUUAAUGGAUACAUUAUUAAGCAAAGAGUAACAGCUCCAACAAACCAGAAUUAUUUAAGUCUCUGAGGAAAACUAAGAUUUCCCUUCUGAUUCAUCUUUAAAAUCCUGUUUUCAACAUCUUUGCAAAGUUAAUUUUAGUUUUUUAAAAGCCAGGUAACUUAAAAUAAUUUUUCUGCCCUUCAUUCCUCUUUUGUUUAUCGUGUUUUUCAGAAUGUUGUUCCAUUAGUGACUUUGAAGUCAGUGAUGUUAGAUCAAAUUAUUCAAAUUACUAGCUUUUGUUGUUGCUGGUGCUGUUUUGUGGGUUUUUUUUCUUUUGUUUUGUUUUGUUUUGAUUUUCCUCUUAUGAAUGUAAUUUACUGGUGUAGUGGUUAUUAGAACAGAACUUCACAGUGUUUGUGUUUUGUCUUAAUUAUAAGUAAUUUUAUAUCACUAAUAUUAUCAGUAAACUUGUUUGUGUAUAUUUUACUCAAUGAAAUGUUAAUGCCAAACUUUGAACAGAAACUGUACUGACUACUUCUAUCUUAAAACAGACAGUACCAGUAGCUGAUUGUUUUACUUUUGUUUCCUUUCAUCAAACAACUCUAUUCAGAAGGUGAAAAUUUCCUUUUCUUCUUUUUGAUGGAAUUUCUUUUCAUUUCUCCCCUUUCUUUUCAUAGUUUUACAAACGGUCAGUUACACAGUUUAUUACAAAAUAUGUUGAGGCACAUGCCUAGAAGGUGUGUUGAAUGGCAUACUCCAUCUACUUGUGGCAUCUAUGCAUAUUAAGUUGUUAAAAGCAUGUUUGUCAAACUUAUAUGACAGUUUUAGCAAUUGUAAAAACGCAUAUUUGCUAUGCUAUGCUAGAAGAAGAGGAAGAAAAAGAAGAAGAGAAGUGAAAAAAGAGAGGAGAGGAGAGGAGAGGAGAGGAGAGGAGAGGAGAGGAGAGGAGAG
RNAcentral lists this long non-coding RNA (11621 nucleotides) under Gallus gallus (chicken). The record is from RNAcentral. Lineage: Eukaryota; Metazoa; Chordata; Aves; Galliformes; Phasianidae.